UGGUAAGUAAAAUAACCAAUCUUUGGCAUAAUCAUCAAGUGAGAAUGGGAAUGCUCUCAGUUUUACAUCCUCUUCAGAUAUGCCUUGCGGCCUCAUGGAUGAACAUACAAUGUGAAAUUCUUUCAAGUGCUUAUGUGGAUUUUCAUUCUCCAAACCUCUAAAUUUAGGGAGUAGAUGUAUCAAACCUGUUUUGAGCUCAAAAGGGGCUGUCAAAGGUGGGUAAGUGAUGCACCAUAGUGCUUGAUCAUCCACAGGGGCUGCCAACUCUCUCAGUGUUCUUUCUCUUGGUAUUGGUGCCCUCAUGGUUGGAUUUU
RNAcentral lists this long non-coding RNA (314 nucleotides) under Manihot esculenta (cassava). RNAcentral describes it as "long non-coding RNA (MESC_LNC011405)". Lineage: Eukaryota; Viridiplantae; Streptophyta; Magnoliopsida; Malpighiales; Euphorbiaceae. The record is from RNAcentral.